GCCAACUUUGCUUAAAAAUCUGGAUGAGACAAGGGUAUAAUCAGGACAAGUCAUGGGCAUCAAAGUAAAUGCAAGGGACAAACUUUGCUUUGAGCUGUGAUGUAUAAAUCAGAGUCAUCUUCCUCUGUGUCAGGGAAAAAGCAGCAUUGUAACAUUUGAAUGGGUGAGAUCAGGAUCAAGUUCAAGAGACCUUCUAUCCUGGAAGUAUGGCUCUGGGUAGACAUGAGCACCACCAGUUCUUUGAGGGAGAUGUAUUUGCAACAUGAGAGGGGAAGAUCAGGAGCUGCAGAAAGGCAACUGAGCUCCCCGGGCAGGACAGCUCUGCUGAGUCGUGAAAGACAAGGGCAGCUAACUCCUGCUGAGCUUGUGACCAUGCUGGCAACAUAUUUUCUCCAGAGCUGAAUGGGAACAGUGAAUUAAGAUAAAAUUCUAAGCUAAUUGGAUCAGGCUCUUAAAAUCACUAAUAAAGCACAGUGCGCAGCCUCUUAUUGGAUUAUA
This 498-nucleotide long non-coding RNA is filed under the name Anas platyrhynchos platyrhynchos (common mallard). RNAcentral describes it as "lncRNA (ENSAPLG00000028278.1)". Lineage: Eukaryota; Metazoa; Chordata; Aves; Anseriformes; Anatidae. The record is from RNAcentral.